RNAcentral lists this small nuclear RNA (22 nucleotides) under Arabidopsis thaliana (thale cress). RNAcentral's name for it is "snRNA_14148". The record is from RNAcentral. Lineage: Eukaryota; Viridiplantae; Streptophyta; Magnoliopsida; Brassicales; Brassicaceae.
UCUUAUCUUUAUGGCGGGAAAG